This 253-nucleotide ribosomal RNA is filed under the name uncultured bacterium. RNAcentral's name for it is "partial 16S ribosomal RNA". It matches the Rfam family "Bacterial small subunit ribosomal RNA", at positions 524 to 776 of the family's 1533-position model. The record is from RNAcentral.
UACGGAGGGUGCAAGCGUUAUCCGGAUUUACUGGGUUUAAAGGGUCCGUAGGCGGUUUAAUAAGUCAGUGGUGAAAGCCCAUCGCUCAACGGUGGAACGGCCAUUGAUACUGUUAAACUUGAAUUAUUAGGAAGUAACUAGAAUAUGUAGUGUAGCGGUGAAAUGCUUAGAGAUUACAUGGAAUACCAAUUGCGAAGGCAGGUUACUACUAAUGGAUUGACGCUGAUGGACGAAAGCGUGGGUAGCGAACAGG